CUCCAACAGAGACUGGGAGUCCAUUUCUCAUCACGGAAGCUUGAAAAAGGAGUUUGCAGUUAAUGAAUUUGAAAUGCCGAAUUUCCCUGAACUUUAUGAAGAGGCAAAGGCUCAGGGAAGAAGAUCUUUGAAAAUGGAUUUAGAAGCGUGCAAGAUGCUCAGCACCCACUAGCAUACUCCUGGGAGGCCAGGAGACACUUCGUGUGUGCAGGUGUUCAGACCAGCUUUACUGUGGUCAGAGGAGGGCUUGUUUUGCUAAAGUGGAAAGCAUCUGGGAUGG
This is a long non-coding RNA of Talpa occidentalis (Iberian mole), 280 nucleotides long. RefSeq lists it as uncharacterized. NCBI's taxonomy places the organism in Eukaryota, Metazoa, Chordata, Mammalia, Eulipotyphla, Talpidae. The transcript is spliced from 3 exons. The record is from RefSeq and is a predicted model, not a curated record.